Molecule: ribosomal RNA, 301 nt
Filed under: uncultured bacterium
Lineage: Bacteria
Description: partial 16S ribosomal RNA
Rfam family: Bacterial small subunit ribosomal RNA
Source: RNAcentral
CAGCCGCCGCGGUAAUACGUAGGUGGCAAGCGUUGUCCGGAAUUAUUGGGCGUAAAGGGCUCGCAGGCGGUUUCUUAAGUCUGAUGUGAAAGCCCCCGGGCUCAACCGGGGAGGGUCAUUGGAAACUGGGAAACUUGAGUGCAGAAGAGGAGAGUGGAAUUCCACGUGUAGCGGUGAAAUGCGUAGAGAUGUGGAGGAACACCAGUGGCGAAGGCGACUCUCUGGUCUGUAACUGACGCUGAGGAGCGAAAGCGUGGGGAGCGAACAGGAUUAGAUACCCGCGUAGUCCCUGUCUCUUAUU